This is an RNA transcript of Homo sapiens (human), 2160 nucleotides long. It is a transcript of the gene named biphenyl hydrolase like, with no coding region annotated. The transcript is spliced from 9 exons. NCBI's taxonomy places the organism in Eukaryota, Metazoa, Chordata, Mammalia, Primates, Hominidae. The record is from RefSeq and is marked reviewed.
GACGCAGCGAGGGCGCUAUGGCUGGCGGCCUCGCCUCCUGGAAAGGCCAUGGUCGCUGAGGCGACGAGCGAGGGCGGGGCAGCGCCGACGGGGACACUCAUCCCGGGAGCCAGAGCCAGCACCGAGAGGGGACGGUCUACGCGGGUGCCGGCGGUUCCAGGACUGCGAAACCACGAGCCGAGUUUCGGUCGCCCAUGGGAAAGCACCCGGCAGGGCGUGGCUUCGGGGCGGGGCGGGCAGAGGGCGGAGCAGGAUGGAGAGGCGAGGUGGGCGGAGCAGAGGGCGUGGCUUCGGGGCAGAGUGGGCCGGGUACCGCGCUUGGUCUUAGCGCAUGCGCACUCCCGGCAGCUACGCGACCUGUGACCAUGGUGGCUGUGCUGGGCGGCCGGGGCGUGUUGCGCCUGCGGCUGCUUCUCUCAGCGCUGAAGCCCGGGAUCCACGUCCCACGGGCCGGACCCGCGGCCGCGUUCGGAAAUCAGCCUGAGCCUGAGUACCGCUAAGGCUUUAAUCACGGGUCCCGAGAGCCCUAAGUCUUCUCUUUGCUUGCUGAUCUCGUACCUUAAUGUGCAAAAGAAUCACGUUGGGAACUGAAAAUUCAGAAUCCUGGGCCUCACUCCCAGAGGAUCUGAUCUACAUGUGUGGAGAUGCCCAGGAAUCUGCUUUAUUCUCUUUUGUCCUCCCACCUGUCCCCCCAUUUCAGCACCUCGGUAACCUCUGCCAAAGUGGCUGUGAAUGGCGUUCAGCUGCAUUACCAGCAGACUGGAGAGGGAGAUCACGCAGUCCUGCUACUUCCUGGGAUGUUAGGAAGUGGAGAGACUGAUUUUGGACCUCAGCUCAAGAACCUCAAUAAGAAGCUCUUCACGGUGGUCGCCUGGGAUCCUCGAGGCUAUGGACAUUCCAGGCCCCCAGAUCGCGAUUUCCCAGCAGACUUUUUUGAAAGGGAUGCAAAAGAUGCUGUUGAUUUGAUGAAGGCGCUGAAGUUUAAGAAGGUUUCUCUGCUGGGGUGGAGUGAUGGGGGCAUAACCGCACUCAUUGCUGCUGCAAAAUAUCCAUCUUACAUCCACAAGAUGGUGAUCUGGGGCGCCAACGCCUACGUCACUGACGAAGACAGCAUGAUAUAUGAGGGCAUCCGAGAUGUUUCCAAAUGGAGUGAGAGAACAAGAAAGCCUCUAGAAGCCCUCUAUGGAUGGAGUCUCACUCUGUCACCAGGCUGGAAUGCAAUGGCAUGAUCUCAGCUCACUGCAAUCUCUGUCUCCUGGGUUCAAGCGAUUGCUCUGCCUCAGCCUCCCAAGUAGCUGGGACCACAGGCGUGCACCACCACACAGGUAACAUCUGCCGGCACCUGCUGCCCCGGGUCCAGUGCCCCGCCUUGAUUGUGCACGGUGAGAAGGAUCCUCUGGUCCCACGGUUUCAUGCCGACUUCAUUCAUAAGCACGUGAAAGGCUCACGGCUGCAUUUGAUGCCAGAAGGCAAACACAACCUGCAUUUGCGUUUUGCAGAUGAAUUCAACAAGUUAGCAGAAGACUUCCUACAAUGAGAAUGCACACUCCAGUCUUGGUGGUUCCUUCGUGUGGGGCUUGAUCGUGUUGCUGCCUGUUAACAUGAUGCCUUUGAAACUCUCCGCCUUUGAAACUUUCUACCCCUCCCUUCAAUCUUAUCCUAACCAAAUGAGAAUAAUGACAUAUUGAAAACAGCCUCUAGCUUCAGGCUGGGCACGGUGGCUCACAGCUAUAAUCUCAGCACUUUGGGAGGCUGAGGUGGGAGAAUUGCCUGAGCCCAGGAGUUCAAGACCAGCUUGUGCAAUAUAGGGAGACUCCGGCUCUACAAAAAAGAGUUUUUCAAAAUUAGCCAGGCGAAGUGGCACACAUCUGUGGUCCCAGGUGCUCAGGAAGCUGAGGUGGGAGGAUCACUUGAGCCCAAUUCAAAGCUGCAGUGAGCUGUAAUUGCAUCACUGCACUCCAACCUGGGCAACAGAGUAAGACCUUGUCUUAAAAAAAAAUAAAAACAUAAAAAAAAAUAAAAAAGGAAUAAAGCCUCUAACUUCAAUAGCUAUGAAAAUUAAAUCCGAUUUUCUAAGAUGAAGUUGUGACAAGUUAUACCAUUGUCUUAACAGGUGAAUUCCUGCCAUAAUUUAUUUUCAAAUAAAUUUUAGGUGGAGAA